GAUGAACGCUGGCGGCGUGCCUAAUACAUGCAAGUCGAGCGAACAGACGAGGAGCUUGCUCCUCUGACGUUAGCGGCGGACGGGUGAGUAACACGUGGAUAACCUACCUAUAAGACUGGGAUAACUUCGGGAAACCGGAGCUAAUACCGGAUAAUAUAUUGAACCGCAUGGUUCAAUAGUGAAAGACGGUUUUGCUGUCACUUAUAGAUGGAUCCGCGCCGCAUUAGCUAGUUUGUAAGGUAAAGGCUUACCAAGGCAACGAUGCGUAGCCGACCUGAGAGGGUGAUCGGCCACACUGGAACUGAGACACGGUCCAGACGCCUACGGGAGGCAGCAGUAGGGAAUCUUCCGCAAUGGGCGAAAGCCUGACGGAGCAGCGCCGCGUGAGUGAUGAAGGUCUUCGGAUCGUAAAACUCUGUUAUUAGGGAAGAACAAAUUUGUAAGUAACUAUGCACGUCUUGACGGUACCUAAUCAGAAAGCCACGGCUAACUACGUG
Molecule: ribosomal RNA, 497 nt
Filed under: uncultured bacterium
Lineage: Bacteria
Description: partial 16S ribosomal RNA
Rfam family: Bacterial small subunit ribosomal RNA
Source: RNAcentral